This 253-nucleotide ribosomal RNA is filed under the name uncultured bacterium. RNAcentral describes it as "partial 16S ribosomal RNA". It matches the Rfam family "Bacterial small subunit ribosomal RNA", at positions 524 to 776 of the family's 1533-position model. The record is from RNAcentral.
UACGUAGGUGUCAAGCGUUGUCCGGAUUUAUUGGGCGUAAAGCGCCCGCAGGCGGCUUGCCAAGUUCGAUGUGAAAUCUCCCGGCUCAACUGGGAGGGUGCAUCGAAAACUGGCAGGCUUGAGGCAGGGAGAGGGAUGUGGAAUUCCAGGUGUAGUGGUGAAAUGCGUAGAUAUCUGGAGGAAUACCGGUGGCGAAGGCGGCAUCCUGGACCGGCAUUGACGCUGAGGAGCGAAAGCCAGGGGAGCAAACGGG